AUGAAUCCCUAAACAUCAAAACUAAAAAUGGACGUUUAAUAACGAAAAAUUGUAGGUGAGUAGUUUUUUUGCUGAGAACCUCGAUUUUCCAUUUUAUGGGAGACCAAAUUUCGUUUGAUUGAAGUUUAUUUUAAUCGUUGAUUAAAAUAUAUAAACUUAGUGAAUUGAACCAUCUAAGUAACUAAGGAAAAAAUCAACAGAGAUAUUGUAAGUAGCGGCGAGCGAACGCGGUAAAAAGGCUAUAGAAUUUUCAAUCAUACUUAAUAUUUAAAUAGCCGUAGAAGGAGAAAGCCCUGUAAGGUGAAAAAUUUGAAAAUUUAAAAAAGUAAAUUGAUGCAUGUUAUGCGUUGAUUGAAUAUUGGGGUACCAUCCUCAAAGUCUAAAAGUUUUGAUGCUUGAUAGUGAAUUAGUACUGUGAAGGAAAGGUGAAAAAGAAUUCAUGAAAAUUGAAAAGACAUUGAAAUUUAAUGCUAACAAGCAGUUAGAGCUCUUUAUUACGAGUGACAACGUAUCUUUUGUAUAAUAGAUCAACAAGUUUAUUUUAGUGGCGAGCUUACGCAAAUUAAAAAGUGCAGGCACAAAGAAAUUAAGUUCUAAAAUGUUAAAUGUAGUCUCUAAAAUAAAACCCGAAACUGAGUGAUCUAACCAUGGGCAGGUUGAAUUUGAAGCGGUAACGCUCAUCGGAGGGCCGAACUCGUGUAUGUGGAAAAAUAUUGAGAUGACCUGUGGUUAGGAGUGAAAGGCUAAUCAAACUCAGAGAUAGCUGGUUUUCUGCGAAAUCUAUUUAAGUAGAGCGUUUAAAAUUCUUCAUUUUGAGGUAGAGCUCUCGAUAAGCGAUGGGAAUGAAAAUUUUACUGAAUUUAGUGAAACUUCGAAUACAAAAUAAAAUGUUUUAAGCAGACAGACUAUGAGUGCUAAGAUUCAUAGUCAAGAGGGAAACAGCCCAGACUGAUGGUUAAGGUCCUUGAAAGUGAUUAAGUGGUAAAAACGUAUAAAAACUCUGACAACCAGUAGGUCAGCUUAGAAGCAGCUAGCUUUUAAAGAGUGCGUAAUUGCUCACUGGUCUAGUUUUUUCGCGUUGAAAAUGUAGAGGGACUUAAAUUACUUGCCGAAAUUGUAGAUUUAAGUCAAUGAUCUUAAAUGGUAGCAGAACGUUCUGUAAAUUUAAAAAGGUUUAUGGUGAUAUAAACUGAAGAAAUCAGAAGUGAGAAUGUUGAUAUGAGUAGCGAUAAACAAUGUGGAAAACAUUGUCGCCUUAAGUCUGAGGUUUCCAAAUCAAGGUUAAUCCGUUUUGGUGUAGUUAAUCGGUCUCUAAGAAAAUUAAACGAAAGUUUAUUUUGAUGGGUAAGAAAUUAUUAAUUUUAUAUUUUUUAUAAGUGACAAAACAUUAAUAAUAUAUUUAUUUUAUGGUUUGAAUGAAUGUUUUAUAGUCUUUUCAAGAAAUAGCUUUAAAAAUUAAAACCGUACUUAAACCGACACAGGUGGACAAAUUUAGUAAAUUAAGGCGCUUGAGAGAAUUGCGUUGAAGGAACUCGGCAAAAUGACUUCGUAACUUCGGGAUAAGAAGUAACUUUAUUAGGGUAACCUUACAAAGUUGUCACAGAAUCGGGGACAGCGACUGUUUAUUAAAAACACAGGUCUCUGCGAAUUUGAAAAAAGAUGUAUUGAGGCUGACGCCUGCCCAGUGCUGCAAGAUUAAAGGAAAGGGUCAUUUGGCUCUAACCCUAAACCCCAGUAAACGGCGGCUGUAACUUGACGGUCCUAAGGUAGCGAAAUUCCUUGGCAUUUAAUUGGUGUCCUGCAUGAAUGGCG
This 1812-nucleotide ribosomal RNA is filed under the name Oxyrrhis marina. RNAcentral's name for it is "partial Bacterial large subunit ribosomal RNA". It matches the Rfam family "Bacterial large subunit ribosomal RNA", at positions 24 to 2001 of the family's 2925-position model. Lineage: Eukaryota; Dinophyceae; Oxyrrhinales; Oxyrrhinaceae. The record is from RNAcentral.